CAGAGUGCUAAGCUGUGGACCACCUGUCCCCAGGUGCUAAAAUUCAAAUGCAUGUGGUACGCGAUGCAAAGGCCAAAUGAGUUUAGUGGAGGCGACUAUUAUAAACCAACCAAACGUCUGGCCUUCACCAGAGGUGUUUGCGGUGGACUUGAGGGUUUCCUCUGCACACCACCUGCUGUGGGGACAGCCUGUGGCGUUGAGGUUCCUCAGAGAGGGCCGUGGUGACGACCGAGGGCGGCAGGAGGGCCUGGAGUGAGCCAGGCCACUUCCCGGUUGUGAGCCCGUGGGGCAAGUUGCUUCAUCUCUCAGACCCUCAGUUUCCUUAAGUGCAAACGGGAGGGACGGCUGCCUUUCCUACAAGACGGCUGAGAGCAUGCGAGUGAAAGUACCUGGCACAGGUGCUAUCAUCUGAUGAAAGGAAAUUCUCUGCUUUACCCUUGCAAUAUAUAUAAACACACUAUGGGAUUCACUCGCAGCCCCCAAAUAUUUGAUAUUUUCUUUUGAGUUCAGUCAUUCAGUCGUAUCCGACUCUGCGACCUCUAUGCACUCUAGCCCGCCAGGCUCCUCUGUCCAUGGGAUUCUCCAGGGAAGAACAUUGGAGUGGGUUGCCAUUGUCUUCUCCAGGGGAUCUUCCCAGGAAUUGAACCCACAUCGCGUGCAUUGCAGGCAGAUUCUCUACCGCUGAGCCACCGGGGAAGCCCGAUACUUUCUUAAUAUCACUAAAUAUAUCUGCAGUAAGACCUACAAAGGAGUGGAGCGAGCUGCCUUCCCGGGCUCCCCUUUCAUCUCCAGGCCAGGUGCUGUGGGAGCCUUAAUGGGGUGUAAGGAGAUGUUCUUGCUCAAACUGGAAAAACCCGAUGGGCAGCCACUCGCCCUGGCAGGUUUCCAGCCUCCUGUGCAGGACUCCAGGGCCAGCUGAGGCGCCCCGCCAGCCCCGAGGCCAGGACGACCCGGGGCCAAACCAGAAACCCCGUGAUGCUGUCUGCAACCGCUUGGCCUUCCUCCUCGCGCUCAGCCCUGGCCAAGGUGCCCACGGCCUCCCCGAGCCCUCCCCCGGCCAGGGGGGCCAGGCUCCCACAGAGAAGGGAGGUCUAGCGGCUCUGCGUCCACCUCAGGUCCUUCCCUCCGCACACAUUAAGGCCCACUCUGGGGCCAGGCAGAAAGGGAGACCAUCCCCAGGGCUGUGUCUGCAUCCUGGUGACCAAUUCAGGGUUUCUCAGCGAGAACCGCCUGACCUAUGA
RNAcentral lists this long non-coding RNA (1241 nucleotides) under Capra hircus (goat). RNAcentral's name for it is "lncRNA (ENSCHIG00010012629.1)". The record is from RNAcentral. Lineage: Eukaryota; Metazoa; Chordata; Mammalia; Artiodactyla; Bovidae.